Molecule: long non-coding RNA, 325 nt
Organism: Gordionus sp. m RMFG-2023
Lineage: Eukaryota; Metazoa; Nematomorpha; Gordioida; Chordodea; Parachordodidae
Exons: 3
Source: RefSeq, a predicted model, not a curated record
GCCCUCCAACUACUAGAAAUAUGCAUCUAAUAUUGACCCAUCUACCGGCUAACCCUAAUCCCUCACAUUGCUACAAAACAUGAUGAAUCUAUUAAAGAUAAGCAAAGAAAAUAUGGUAGACAAAAUAAUAAAGAACUACGCUUGAAAUGAACUCAUCUGGAGUUCUCCAAAUUAUACUAUCACGACAACCACAAUCCCUAUGCUUCCGCCUAUUUUUCAACAAAUAUAAACAUUUAAUUCUGUACUAUCAUUCACUUCACUAGGAGUUAAUAUAAAUAUUACUUUAUCCAAUUCUCUGAGAAACUUUCAUGAAUAUUUAGAGGAA